GAUGAACGCUGGCGGCGUGCCUAAUACAUGCAAGUCGAGCGAACAGACGAGGAGCUUGCUCCUCUGACGUUAGCGGCGGACGGGUGAGUAACACGUGGAUAACCUACCUAUAAGACUGGGAUAACUUCGGGAAACCGGAGCUAAUACCGGAUAAUAUAUUGAACCGCAUGGUUCAAUAGUGAAAGACGGUUUUGCUGUCACUUAUAGAUGGAUCCGCGCCGCAUUAGCUAGUUGGUAAGGUAACGGCUUACCAAGGCAACGAUGCGUAGCCGACCUGAGAGGGUGAUCGGCCACACUGAACUGAGACACGGUCCAGACUCCUACGGGAGGCAGCAGUAGGGAAUCUUCCGCAAUGGGCGAAAGCCUGACGGAGCAACGCCGCGUGAGUGAUGAAGGUCUUCGGAUCGUAAAACUCUGUUAUUAGGGAAGAACAAAUGUGUAAGUAACCAUGCACGUCUUGACGGUACCUAAUCAGAAAGCCACGGCUAACUACGUG
Molecule: ribosomal RNA, 496 nt
Filed under: uncultured bacterium
Lineage: Bacteria
Description: partial 16S ribosomal RNA
Rfam family: Bacterial small subunit ribosomal RNA
Source: RNAcentral